RNAcentral lists this ribosomal RNA (603 nucleotides) under Escherichia coli. RNAcentral describes it as "partial 23S ribosomal RNA". It matches the Rfam family "Bacterial large subunit ribosomal RNA", at positions 614 to 1218 of the family's 2925-position model. The record is from RNAcentral. Lineage: Bacteria; Pseudomonadati; Pseudomonadota; Gammaproteobacteria; Enterobacterales; Enterobacteriaceae.
AAUGGGUCAGCGACUUAUAUUCUGUAGCAAGGUUAACCGAAUAGGGGAGCCGAAGGGAAACCGAGUCUUAACUGGGCGUUAAGUUGCAGGGUAUAGACCCGAAACCCGGUGAUCUAGCCAUGGGCAGGUUGAAGGUUGGGUAACACUAACUGGAGGACCGAACCGACUAAUGUUGAAAAAUUAGCGGAUGACUUGUGGCUGGGGGUGAAAGGCCAAUCAAACCGGGAGAUAGCUGGUUCUCCCCGAAAGCUAUUUAGGUAGCGCCUCGUGAAUUCAUCUCCGGGGGUAGAGCACUGUUUCGGCAAGGGGGUCAUCCCGACUUACCAACCCGAUGCAAACUGCGAAUACCGGAGAAUGUUAUCACGGGAGACACACGGCGGGUGCUAACGUCCGUCGUGAAGAGGGAAACAACCCAGACCGCCAGCUAAGGUCCCAAAGUCAUGGUUAAGUGGGAAACGAUGUGGGAAGGCCCAGACAGCCAGGAUGUUGGCUUAGAAGCAGCCAUCAUUUAAAGAAAGCGUAAUAGCUCACUGGUCGAGUCGGCCUGCGCGGAAGAUGUAACGGGGCUAAACCAUGCACCGAAGCUGCGGCAGCGACGCUGAU